CCAUCGGCCGUUGCCAGUCCCUCCCGAGCCUCCUUGCCUCAUGGGAGGAGAGGAGAAGAAGAGGGGGAGGAGAUCGUGGUGGAAAUGGAAGAAUAAAGGGAGAAGCUUCGGAAAGGAAGAAGAAAGGAGGAGAGAGGAAAAGAAAAACAAAAGAAAGAAAAAAAUGGUGGGCCAUAGUUGAACUUAAAUGUGAAAUUGGGUUAUUGGAUUCAAAGCCCAAUAUUCCAAUUUCAAACUAGAAAACCCGAGGAAGAAAGGACCUCAAUGGCCAUGGGCCGAAUUAUCGAUGUAGGCCCGUAAUCAGACUAGGCUCAGUCCGAGCCAAGUAGUUGUGAACUCAAAACUACUUGGGCCUGAAGUGCACAAACCUUAAUAGAAGGCUAUUGGGUCCAAACCAGAAGAUGAAAUUGGCUAAGACUUGUGCCAGAAACUGAAUCAGACCUGAAUCAAAUAUUGAAUCAGGUCUGAACCAGAAGCUGACCUAGACCUGAACUAGGUUAGGGACCUAAGAAUGAAAUUGAGUUCUAU
Molecule: long non-coding RNA, 528 nt
Filed under: Phoenix dactylifera (date palm)
Lineage: Eukaryota; Viridiplantae; Streptophyta; Magnoliopsida; Arecales; Arecaceae
Description: long non-coding RNA (PDAC_LNC013141)
Source: RNAcentral